CAAUAGCGUAUAUUAAAGUUGUUGCAGUUAAAAAGCUCGUAGUUGGAUUUCUGGUUGAAGCGACCGGUCGGGCGUUGAUUCGUCUGCACUGGAGUCGGUUUUGGCCAUCCUCUAGGAAAGUGCGUCUGGUAUUAAGUUAUCGGGCGUAUGAUCCUGGUCUUUUACUGUGAAAAAAUUAGAGUGUUUAAAGCAGGCCUUCGCCUUGAAUACAUUAGCAUGGAAUAAUAAGAUAGGACUUUGGUCUAUUUUGUUGGUUUGCAGACCGAAGUAAUGAUUAAUAGGGAUAGUUGGGGGUAUUUAUAUUCCGAUGUCAGAGGUGAAAUUCUUAGAUUUUCGGAAGAUAAACUUAUGCGAAAGCAUUUACCAAGGAUGCUUUCAUUA
Molecule: ribosomal RNA, 381 nt
Filed under: uncultured eukaryote
Lineage: Eukaryota
Description: partial 18S ribosomal RNA
Rfam family: Eukaryotic small subunit ribosomal RNA
Source: RNAcentral